Molecule: long non-coding RNA, 1003 nt
Organism: Helianthus annuus (common sunflower)
Lineage: Eukaryota; Viridiplantae; Streptophyta; Magnoliopsida; Asterales; Asteraceae
Exons: 9
Source: RefSeq, a predicted model, not a curated record
UAAACGUAGAUUCUUUUUUUUUUCUUUAGAUCAAGUCAUAUUGGUUCAGCACCUGUUUCUUCAAGGUUUUCAUUGAUCCCACUUCUUAACUGCAUUAGGCUGCUUUAUCAAGUCCACCUUUCUAAUGCCAAGAAAUCAUCUGCCACAACUGAAAUCAAACACAAGUUGGAUAAUGACAGCGGCAAGGACAUUUUUAAGUUGGGGAGAAAAGAUCUUCUUCCGAAAGUGAAGGGAACCAAAACAAAACAAUAAUUGGUGUUGUAUAUUGACCGAUGAGAGCGUGAAAAGAGAGACCGGAUUGAUGCAAACGUUGUCGUAUUGUUGCAGAGUACACCACUAUAGUGUUGCUAACAAUGGCAAACUUCAGUUUUACUAGGGGUUUAAUUUUGAUUAUUAAGACUGGGAGAUGAAGGUGAUUAUGCAUAUACCAUUACUGUGAGAUUCGCCGAUUAGCAAUGGAAGUUUGUUACCUGGUGUCGACAGGACAAAUCACUUCUUUGAAUGGAGAUUCAACUCAUAUUGAUGAUGACCAUGAGUUGAAGUAGGGUCUUCAACAAUUUUGUAAGGCCAACCCAUAUUCACUUAGGUCGUUGGGAGGCUGUCAUGAAAUUCGGUUGGUCGGGUUUGGGUUUUUCAGGAUUAGGUUUCGACAUUGACGAGAUAAUACAAGCAUGGCAUGAACUGUAUGAAGUGAAAAGAUGGCAAAGUGGCGUUCGUCUUUUCGAUUAGCGCCAUUGUUUAGAAGACGAGUUUUUGUUAUUGGUUCAAAGAAAAAAGUAUUGUGGAUGAAAUUUAAUAUAAGGGUGAACACAACAUACAUGUUUUGGAGAACAGUUAGAUGAAUAUAUCCGGGUCGCUAGCUUGGGAAGUGGGACUCAACAUACACAAACAGGGAACUCAAUUUACUAAGAGAAAGGUUUUGGUAACUCGAAGGAUAUGCAUCUUCAAAAGGACUCGACUAUCUUUAAAUUGUAUAUCCACUCUAUCACUAAUUUAUGCAACA